GCAAGAUUAAAACUCAAAGGAAUAGACGGGGACCCGCACAAGUGGUGGAGCAUGUGGUUUAAUUCGAAGAUACGCGAAGAACCUUACCUAGCCUUGACAUAUUUUAGAAUCUUUCAGAGAUGAGAGAGUGCCUUCGGGAGCUAUCUUACAGGUGCUGCACGGCUGUCGUCAGCUCGUGUCGUGAGAUGUUGGGUUAAGUCCCGCAACGAGCGCAACCCUCGUCACUAGUUACUAACGAUUCGGUCGAGGACUCUAGUGAGACUGCCUUCGUAAGGAGGAGGAAGGUGAGGACGACGUCAAGUCAUCAUGGCCCUUACGGCUAGGGCAACACACGUGCUACAAUGGUUAGGACAAUGAGACGCAAUAUCGUGAGGUGGAGCAAAUCUAUAAACCUAAUCUCAGUUCGGAUUGUAGUCUGCAACUCGACUACAUGAAGCUGGAAUCACUAGUAAUCGUAGAUCAGCUAUGCUACGGUGAAUACGUUCCCGGGUCUUGUACUCACCGCCCGUCACACCAUGGGAGUUGAUUUCACCCGAAGCGGGGAAGCUAAACUGGCUACCCUCCACGGUGGAAUUAGCGACUGGGGUGAAGUCGUAACAAGGUA
Molecule: ribosomal RNA, 604 nt
Filed under: uncultured bacterium
Lineage: Bacteria
Description: bacterial SSU rRNA
Rfam family: Bacterial small subunit ribosomal RNA
Source: RNAcentral